Molecule: long non-coding RNA, 203 nt
Filed under: Vitis vinifera (wine grape)
Lineage: Eukaryota; Viridiplantae; Streptophyta; Magnoliopsida; Vitales; Vitaceae
Description: long non-coding RNA (VVIN_LNC007816)
Source: RNAcentral
CCGAAGCUGUUUUUUCCCAGCCCGUAAUUUUCCCACUUUUCCACGUUACAUUCGCCACUCGCCUUUUUACAUGCAAUAUUAAAACCUUUUAUUUUAUUGUUGUUGAACUUUUUGAAAUUUGUCCAGUAUUAAUAUGUUCUGUUCUUUUUAUUACAAGUGGUAAAAAUUAAGAUCUCGGAAGAAAUCAUGGACUUUUGGGCCUG